AUACGGAGGGUGCAAGCGUUACUGGGAAUCACUGGGCGUAAAGCGCGCGCAGGCGGUCUUUUAAGUUGGAUGGGAAAGCCUACGGCUCAACCGUAGAACUGCAUCCAAAACUAUUAGACUAGAGUGUGGGAGAGGAAGAUGGAAUUAGUUGUGUAGGGGUAAAAUCCGUAGAGAUAACUAGGAAUACCAAAAGCGAAGGCAAUCUUCUGGAACACUACUGACGCUGAGGCGCGAAAGCGUGGGGAGCAAACAGGAUUAGAAACCCUUGUAGUCC
RNAcentral lists this ribosomal RNA (274 nucleotides) under uncultured bacterium. Its description in RNAcentral is "partial 16S ribosomal RNA". It matches the Rfam family "Bacterial small subunit ribosomal RNA", at positions 523 to 796 of the family's 1533-position model. The record is from RNAcentral.